CUGGCAGGUAUACUCAUAAUUAAGGCAGUAAUGCCCCCAUGGCAGCCCCCAACAGGUCACUGGAUGCUGGACUUCCAGAUAAAGCAUAGUGCUGUGGGUGAUGCUGGCAAGAAGAGCCUGAGCUCAAGCCAGGGGAGGGGCUGGAGCUGCGAGCAUUCAGACAAGUCCAGCGCAAGAAACAGCCUUCUCUUCAGUGUUUUGCAGGCUGCCUGAGCCUCCACGUUGUAGGAGAUCCACAAACCACACUCAAGAGAGGAUGGACAUGGGGACCACCGUCUGCAUGCUUGGACCCAGGCAUCAGGCUGAGGUUCUGAGAUGCUGCUGGACUCUCAAGAGUCUUCUCUAGCGCCACAAUUCAAAAGUAUCAAUCCUUCGGUACUCAGCCUUGGACUUGUUGGACCCCAUGGUCCAGCUCUCACAUCCGUACGUGACUACUGGA
This is a non-coding RNA of Odocoileus virginianus texanus, 439 nucleotides long. The record is from RefSeq and is a predicted model, not a curated record. Lineage: Eukaryota; Metazoa; Chordata; Mammalia; Artiodactyla; Cervidae.